Molecule: non-coding RNA, 107 nt
Organism: Neophaeococcomyces mojaviensis
Lineage: Eukaryota; Fungi; Ascomycota; Eurotiomycetes; Chaetothyriales
Source: the annotation of a GenBank genome assembly
GGGCCUGUAGCUCAGGGGUAGAGCGUGUGCUUUGCAUUGAUGAGACUAUUCUCUUCGAUCGACAGCGAGUAUGUACAAGGUCUAGGGUUCAAAUCCCUACCGGUCCA